This 300-nucleotide ribosomal RNA is filed under the name Triticum aestivum (bread wheat). RNAcentral describes it as "partial small subunit ribosomal RNA". Lineage: Eukaryota; Viridiplantae; Streptophyta; Magnoliopsida; Poales; Poaceae. The record is from RNAcentral.
AUGGCUAGUGGCGAGGUGGUCGUUGUGUUCGUGCAGUCCAGCGACGCGGGGCAGAGGUAUCCGGGUGCGGCAGCUCGUUAUGGUCCACAUCCCGGGGGGAGAAGGGGAUCCCAGGGCUGGGGCGGUGAGUUUGAAGGCGGCGGCGGUGGCGAGCUCCCUCCAACACAAAACGAGGGAGAUGAUGAGAGGGGACGGUGGGGAAGGGAAUUAAAGAACGUGCAAGCAUGGGUGGCGCUGCCGGUGCAACCCAACUGGACCUCUUCAUUGGUGCUAUCGCCUCGUCGCCGUAAUGACCAUUGA